UCCGAUAUCCAUUCGCUAUGGAAGUUCGAUCGAGGUCUAGUUUAUGCAAAAGGCUGAAAGGAGAUCGCUUAUUGUAGAAGCUCGAUCAAAGGUCGGUUGUCGUGGGAGCUAGGAGUAGCGAUCUGACCGGUGGGUCCUGUCCUGCUGUAGAAGCUCGUAUGGGAUCCGACUACGAAGAAGCUCGGCUGAAGUUUACCUGUAAUGGAAGUUCGGAAGAGGCAUGUUUACAGUAGGGGCUCGAAUGAAAUUUGCUUACAGUAGAGAUCCAGAGUAGAUCGCCCGCUGUAGGAGUUCGGAGUAGACCGUCUGCUGUAGGAGUUCAGAGUAAACUGCUCGUAGUAGAAGUUUGGCUCUCACAGGAGCCCGGUUAGAAUCUUGAAGGCGGUCGACCAUCGUAGAAACUUGGAUGGAGUCCGAUCUCUGUAGAAACUUCAUUGUCGAAGAAGCUCGGAUAUCGACGGAGUCCGAAAAGAGUUCGGAGAAUAGUUGGUCACUAUAGAAGGUCGGCUAACAGUGAGGCCUAGAGAGCCUUUGGAGCAGCACGGUAGAUGGAUAGAGAAGCUCAUUGUCGGAGAAGUCUGGAAGCUCGGACGGUCGGGGGGGUUCAGAGAGAUGCCACACAA
Molecule: long non-coding RNA, 623 nt
Filed under: Elaeis guineensis (African oil palm)
Lineage: Eukaryota; Viridiplantae; Streptophyta; Magnoliopsida; Arecales; Arecaceae
Description: long non-coding RNA (EGUI_LNC067204)
Source: RNAcentral